CUUCCCUGCCUAGAACACUCCCAGCAUCUCCCUGCUCUCUUGGGCAACAGAAGCGUGUGUCUCUUCCACUUCACGGUCCGUGUGCUUCUAUGAGACCUUAAGCUCCGUGUGAGCAGGGCCUGGGUCCUUGGUGCAUUUGGCCUGGCAUGUGGAGGCUGUCCCCCAUCCCUUGCUGAUUUAAACAAAUGGUGGCAUCUGGAGGUUUGGACCAGGGCAUAGGAAUAAACACCCCCUGGGCCACUCAUUCCUGAAAUCCUGUCCAGGCCUGAGCACAGCUGAGAGCUUGCUUAAGCAUUUAGCCUGCAGGCACAAACGCCGUGUGAAGAAGGUCCUUGCUUCCCCUUCACCUUCCAUCCUGAUU
This is a long non-coding RNA of Rhinopithecus roxellana (golden snub-nosed monkey), 361 nucleotides long. RefSeq lists it as uncharacterized. Lineage: Eukaryota; Metazoa; Chordata; Mammalia; Primates; Cercopithecidae. The transcript has 3 exons. The record is from RefSeq and is a predicted model, not a curated record.